AUUAUACGAGUGUUCGAGUGGAGAACUUCGGAUCGUGUUUGCCAGAACGGCAGCAACAACACCGCUUCGUUUCGGUUCGAGCACCUGUCCUCACUUGGAAUUCUUCUGGCAUUUGAAAUUCUGUAAUACUAGAAACCAUUGAACCUGCCAAUCCCCGUGCAAGCAGCUGCAUCUUUGCCUGAGGUUGCACGAAGAAGGAAGUUCCGUUCCCCUGAUCUCAUCGGCUAACUUUCUUCAUGGGAGUCCCGGUUGUCAGCAGAAGAUUGCAACAAAGUACUCCAGGGUGAAAAUCAAGCCUUUUCGGUUAGCUGAAAUGGUGGGCCUCCUAAUCAAACAUGGCUCCAGAGCCCACGAGGAGCUCUUCAUGGAACUUCAGAUGCUUCACGAGUGUGAGCCUGCACCCACAGACAAUAUUAUCUUGAGACGAUCCUUCCAGUGAAGUGGAUUCCAGCUCCAAGAAUACUGCCAGCGA
Dermacentor silvarum is the source of this 472-nucleotide long non-coding RNA. RefSeq lists it as uncharacterized. NCBI's taxonomy places the organism in Eukaryota, Metazoa, Arthropoda, Arachnida, Ixodida, Ixodidae. The transcript is spliced from 4 exons. The record is from RefSeq and is a predicted model, not a curated record.